CGGGUUCGGGUCUUAUCAACACUAUUAAAGACUUUUCAACCAUUCUAUGUUACCAAGGUUACCAAAUAUAAAAAUAAACAGGUUUAGAGAAGCUUUAAGGAAACACAUUUAAAAAUGUUUUUACUCUAAAUUUAUGAUAAAAUUUUAGAAUCACGACUUAAAUAAAAUGAUUCAUUAGGACGAAACAGGGGAAAUAUAAAUCAAUCUGCAGAUGAAAGUGCUGACGAAUCCGCCGGCUUCAGCUGAAAUGCAGAACCGGACCUGUUUGGGCUCGGGGCUGCUCUUCCUCCUCCUCCUCCUCCUCCUCCGCCGGCUGUUUUGGACUGCUCUGCCAGGAUAAACGGAUGAGUUCGCGGCCACCUCUCAACCCGGCUGGAGCCGACGCACAGGAGCUGCGAGAAACGCCCCCCAGGUCACAUGGCUGCUGGGUCUUUGCAAACACAAACUGAGCUGAGAUCUCAGAGGAGGGGUUGGAAAAGGAGAAGAAAUGAAAAUUUUCAACACAUUCUUGUGGUAUUUUUCCAAUAAUGGAGGACUAAAGAAAAUGAAGAUUA
Long non-coding RNA from Oryzias melastigma (Indian medaka), 554 nucleotides. RefSeq lists it as uncharacterized. The transcript has 3 exons. NCBI's taxonomy places the organism in Eukaryota, Metazoa, Chordata, Actinopteri, Beloniformes, Adrianichthyidae. The record is from RefSeq and is a predicted model, not a curated record.